Numida meleagris (helmeted guineafowl) is the source of this 1655-nucleotide long non-coding RNA. RefSeq lists it as uncharacterized. The transcript is spliced from 4 exons. The record is from RefSeq and is a predicted model, not a curated record. NCBI's taxonomy places the organism in Eukaryota, Metazoa, Chordata, Aves, Galliformes, Numididae.
UAUUUUUCUAGAGAUCCCUCCAUGCCUGAGUCCUUCUGAAGAGCUGGUUGAGGUCAGUCAGACAUUCUGCCCAGGAUUGGAGUUUCCUUAAAAGAAUUAAGAUCAUCAGAGAUGCAUCUGUGUUGGGGAAACAGAAACCUGUUCUGAAGUGCUGUCAUCACAUUCAGUAUCAAGAGCAUACAGAUUUUGUGCUACCUUGCUGCAUGGCUGCAUGUCACUUCUCCAUCUGUGGGGGAGCUGAGACCAAACUCCAAAGACCCAUUGAAGAUAUGCCCUGUGUAGGUUAGAGGGGACAACUGGAAGUUGGCAGUUCUCCUGUGGAAAAAAUUGUGCAUGCUCCUUGGGAAGGACAGGGAGAGCGGGGGCACAUCUGCCAGCCGUGGACACUGGGACUCCUGCAUUGUGCUUGGUGGCAACCCACUUGGCAGUGGAGGCUGGGAUUUGCAACCUCGUAGCUCCUUCCCUCUGCGGCCCUCACUAUGGGGACACCCUGUUUCCUGACCCAAGUGAGUUCACAUGUGAUCUGCAUGGGCAGAAGCAGACCCAGCACCUCCCUGUACUAAUCGAGGAGACUGAUCUUUCCUGCAGCUUGCCAGUAUGAACAUAUCCUUUGUGUCUUGAACCUUACCUUUGUAUUUCACAAGUAUCUGGAACUUUUAGAAAGCUUUUCUUCUGUGACCAAGAAAGUCUACUUUGUGAAGAAAAAUACAUGCAAGAUCAAGCUGUUGGAAGGCUGCUGAGUUAUUCAGGCUCUGCCAUGGGUUAUGUGCGACAGCAUUGCCCCUGCGGUACAGUGCCGCAAGCCUAGCUCAUUCCCACUGCAGGUCUCUGACACGUGUGUCUUUUCCCACUACUAUAUGAGGAUAUAUUUGGAGAUAUGAGAAAGAAGAUAUAUUUGGAGAAUAUACGAGAAAUAAGUACUUCUAAUGAAUGUUGCUAAAGCUUUAGUAGUCUUGGAUGUUUCACAAAUAUUAAGUCAUGAGAAACUUUUAUCUGUGGCCAAACAUGCCUCAUUAUUUAAACAGUUAUCUCCCUCACUUUGAAGUCAGCUAUUUCAACACACCAGGUAGUCUGAUUAUCUCUGAGCUGCAUCAUUUAGCAGGCAGAUAGCUUCUCUGUGACAAAACAUAGCAAUCCCAUAGGUAUGAAAUAACGGAUAGAAUUACAUCAGGCUCUAAGACAAUUACCUCAAAUCCAUAUUUUCAGAUUGCUUACAGUAGGAUCACAAACACAACCAGCUUCUCCCACUGAUCUGGUGGGACUUACGAUUUGCACUGUCACAUUCUCACCCAGCUUGCAUCAGUUUGUCCUUAAAAAUGCUGGCUGCCAUUAGUGUUGAGCAAGGCCUUCAUUCCCAGCACGUGCACUGGGUUACAGGUUUCAACUUCGGUUCUGGCUACAGACUGAGUCCUCCAAGAGUGGUGACUUUGACAUAUAUGGACUAGUACACAGGGGUUUGGCCAUGGCUCCUUCUGUCUAGCUGUAGUAAUCAUUUUGAAGUGGAAAAAAAAAAUGUUUUUAAGCAGUUCUUUUUCAUAUAACUAGGAAGAAAGUGGUCAGCUAGAGGUUUUAGCUACAUUUUUGUUUUUGUCUCCUCAGUGAGACAAUGUCCCAUUUCAGUGAACAGAGGUAGGCCGAUGCCUUCCGCCAAUUUG